AGAGUUUGAUCAUGGCUCAGAACGAACGCUGGCGGCAUGCCUAACACAUGCAAGUCGAGCGAGAACCGAGAGCUUGCUCUCAGGGAAAGCGGCGCACGGGUGAGUAACACGUGGAUAACGUACCUAUUGGUUGGGGAUAACCUGCUGAAAGGCGGGCUAAUACCCGAUAAGCUCCUUCUGAGUACGCUCGGAAUGAGGAAAGCGGGGCAACUCGCGCCGAAUGAACGGUCCGCGUCCCAUCAGCUAGUUGGCGGGGUAAUGGCCCACCAAGGCUACGACGGGUAACUGGUCUGAGAGGACGACCAGUCACACUGGGACUGAGACACGGCCCAGACUCCUACGGGAGGCAGCAGUGGGGAAUAUUGGUCAAUGGGCGAAAGCCUGAACCAGCAAUGCCGCGUGAGUGAUGAAGGCCUUCGGGUUGUAAAGCUCUGUCAGGGGGAACGAAAAAAUCGAGUAACGAUCGAUCUGACGGUACCUCCAAAGAGC
Molecule: ribosomal RNA, 489 nt
Filed under: uncultured Polyangiaceae bacterium
Lineage: Bacteria; Pseudomonadati; Myxococcota; Polyangiales; Polyangiaceae
Description: bacterial SSU rRNA
Rfam family: Bacterial small subunit ribosomal RNA
Source: RNAcentral